RNAcentral lists this long non-coding RNA (1059 nucleotides) under Lynx canadensis (Canada lynx). RNAcentral's name for it is "lncRNA (ENSLCNG00005013839.1)". Lineage: Eukaryota; Metazoa; Chordata; Mammalia; Carnivora; Felidae. The record is from RNAcentral.
GGAACACAGGGCAGACCCCCAGGAAUCGGUGCCCCCCGCCACCCUCCAGGGCUCAGGGGAGAGGGGCGCGUCCGUCCCCUAGUCAGGAGUGGAACCCUCUGGAAACAGCCCAUCACCACCUCUCCGGUCUAUCGCUGGGCCCCCUCUUUCAUAGAUCCCUGUUUUGUUCCUCUGUUUCUCCCACCCGAUGGCGAACCCUCGAGGGUUAUUCAAGCCCCUUGGGCGAUUCGGAUAAAUCCGGGCAGGCUCAGCCUCGCCCCUCUGGCUCCUGCAGACGCUGGGAUGGGGGUUCCCCGGGCGGGUGCCUGGGCACCCCUGUCCUCAGCACCCGCCGGGCCCCCUCAGGCCAAGACAGCCGCCCUCUGGGAGGGGCUCGGGUCCCCGAGGGUCUGCAGCAGCAAGAGAAGCCCAGGAGAAGGAAGGGGCCCCAGCGGCCAACAGGUGUGCCCGCGUCAGUAGCUCACAAAAUGAAUCCAGCCCACUCUUCCAUCCACAUCACACGUCCACACGGCAGGCGGUUCUCGCCAACCACAGUCUCCGCAAGCAGCACACUUCCGAUCACUGUGCGGCGGCCUCCCCGCGGCCGACCGGGUCUGAGCCAGACGGGAGCACGAGCCGCGAGUGUCUACGGGGGAACCGGCCCUUCCCAAGAGUGCCUGCUCAGGCAGGACCCGGUCCUGGGCUCCAGGCAGGGGGAGCCGCCCCUGUGACUCGCUCCCCGGGGCUGGGCCUGAACUGACCUGGCCGGAGACUGGCGGCCGGGACGAGCACCCCCGCCUGCCUGGGCACACAGGAGGGCAGGGAUGGGGUCUGGCCUUCCGCCUAACCAGGCUUCUUUUCCCUUCCGGCGGAUGGGCUGCAGGCCACAGGACACACCCCACAGGGCUCCGGCAGCCGCCGAAAAGGGGGAGCCCCUCACCCCCAGACCAAGCUUCCAGGGAGCUGGGAAAUAUUCACGCUGGGGAUGGGGGCACGCGCCCGCGGGCAGGGGCUUCUCCUGGGGAAGGGGGGGCUGCCGGGUCAGCCCCCCCGCCCCCAGCCACUCGCCAAGCUUCCUUC